Baumannia cicadellinicola str. Hc (Homalodisca coagulata) is the source of this 378-nucleotide non-coding RNA. It matches the Rfam family "transfer-messenger RNA". From Rfam's summary of the family: Bacterial tmRNA, also known as 10Sa RNA or SsrA, is named for its dual tRNA and mRNA-like properties. NCBI's taxonomy places the organism in Bacteria, Pseudomonadati, Pseudomonadota, Gammaproteobacteria. The record is from Rfam.
GGGGCUGAUUAUGGAUUCGACAGGAUUGUCGUAACCUUAGGUGCAUGCCGAGGUAAGGUAAUCUCGUAAAAUAACCUAACAUAAACAAUUGCAAAUAACUCGCAAUAUGAAUCUGUUGCAUUAGCAGCUUAAAUCAGCUUAAGAACUGAAGAUUCCCUCUCUCCCUAGUCUUAUCUCUUAGAACGGGGUUAAGAGAGGUCAAAUAUCAAAGAGAUAGCGUAAAUAUCAAACCUGGGGAUAAAACGCUAAAAACACAGGUUAGUUUGUCAAUAGCGUGUCUGUUCGCUAUAGACAAACGAAAAUUAAAACAGUACUAAGCAUGUAGUACCAAGGGCGUAGUAAUUCUGGACGCGGGUUCAAAUCCCGCCAGCUCCAGUC